Long non-coding RNA from Anolis carolinensis (green anole), 471 nucleotides. RefSeq lists it as uncharacterized. The transcript has 2 exons. The record is from RefSeq and is a predicted model, not a curated record. Lineage: Eukaryota; Metazoa; Chordata; Lepidosauria; Squamata; Anolidae.
GGACACAGUCUCCACAUUUUCCUUCAUGACUUGUUGAUGCAAGGCCUUUUGGUCCAGAUCCAGCAGGGCCCACUCCUCAUCACUGAAAAACACAGCCACCUCUUGGAAGGUCACCUGGACAAAGAAACAUUAUUGGCACAGCCCUGAAAUGGCACGACCUGAGCAAGGAAGAGUAAGGCGUUGUUGUUGUUGUUGUGUGCCACCAGGCCAACUUCGACGGAUGGUGAUGCUAUGAUGAGAGACCUCCAAGCCAUGUCUGCUCAGAUCUUGGCGAUUCAGGACAGCCACGGCUCCCUUGGUGGAGUGCAUUCUCCUACAGUCCAAUCUCUCUCUUUUCCUGCUGCCUUCUCUUUUACUAAAACUUAUUGUCUUUUAUAGUGAGCCCAGUGUAAUUGUGAUAUGGCCACAUUACAACUAUGUCAGUUCAGACAUCUUGGCUUCUAGUGGGAAUUAAAGCUUGAUUUUCUCUGG